UACCGGCGGCUCGAGUGGUGGCCGCUUUUAUUGGGCUUAAAGCGUUCGUAGCUGGGUCGUUAAGUCUCUUGGGAAAUCUGGCAGCUCAACUGUCAGGCGUCUAAGGGAUACUGGCGAUCUUGGAACCGGGAGAGGUGAGGGGUACUUCGGGGGUAGGAGUGAAAUCCUGUAAUCCUCGAGGGACCACCUGUGGCGAAGGCGCCUCACCAGAACGGCUUCGACAGUGAGGGACGAAAGCUGGGGGAGCAAACCGGAUUAGAUACCCUGGUAGUCCCUGAGCGGGCU
Molecule: ribosomal RNA, 285 nt
Filed under: uncultured prokaryote
Description: partial 16S ribosomal RNA
Rfam family: Archaeal small subunit ribosomal RNA
Source: RNAcentral